GGCCGUGUGGCGUAAUGGCAACGCGUCUGACUACGAUUUGGAAUCAGGAGAUUGCAGGUUCGACCCCUGUCUCGGUCA
Armillaria mellea is the source of this 78-nucleotide non-coding RNA. NCBI's taxonomy places the organism in Eukaryota, Fungi, Basidiomycota, Agaricomycetes, Agaricales, Physalacriaceae. The record is from the annotation of a GenBank genome assembly.